RNAcentral lists this Y RNA (112 nucleotides) under Microcebus murinus (gray mouse lemur). RNAcentral describes it as "Y RNA (ENSMICG00000045461.1)". It matches the Rfam family "Y RNA". From Rfam's summary of the family: Y RNAs are components of the Ro ribonucleoprotein particle (Ro RNP), in association with Ro60 and La proteins. Lineage: Eukaryota; Metazoa; Chordata; Mammalia; Primates; Cheirogaleidae. The record is from Rfam by way of RNAcentral.
GGUUGAUCUGAAGAUAGUGAGUUAUCUCAAUCAUUGUUCACAGUCAGUUAGAGAUCAAACUCCUUGUUCUACUCUUUCCCUCCUUCUCACUACUGCACUUGAAUAGUCUUUU